This 1434-nucleotide ribosomal RNA is filed under the name uncultured marine bacterium. Its description in RNAcentral is "16S ribosomal RNA". It matches the Rfam family "Bacterial small subunit ribosomal RNA". The record is from RNAcentral.
GAGUUUGAUCAUGGCUCAGAACGAACGCUGGCGGCAGGCCUAAUACAUGCAAGUCGAGCGCGCCCUUCGGGGUGAGCGGCGGACGGGUGAGUAACGCGUGGGAAUAUGCCCUUCUCUAAGGAAUAGCCUCUGGAAACGGAGAGUAAUACCUUAUACGCCCUUUGGGGGAAAGAUUUAUCGGAGAAGGAUUAGCCCGCGUUAGAUUAGGUAGUUGGUGGGGUAAUGGCCUACCAAGCCUACGAUCUAUAGCUGAUUUGAGAGGAUGAUCAGCCACACUGGGACUGAGACACGGCCCAGACUCCUACGGGAGGCAGCAGUAGGGAAUCUUAGACAAUGGGGGCAACCCUGAUCUAGCCAUGCCGCGUGUGUGAUGAAGGCCCUAGGGUCGUAAAGCACUUUCGCCAGAGAUGAUAAUGACAGUAUCUGGUAAAGAAACCCCGGCUAACUCCGUGCCAGCAGCCGCGGUAAUACGAAGGGACCUAGCGUAGUUCGGAAUUACUGGGCUUAAAGAGUUCGUAGGUGGUUGAAAAAGUUGGUGGUGAAAUCCCAGAGCUUAACUCUGGAACUGCCAUCAAAACUUUUCAGCUAGAGUAUGAUAGAGGGAAGCAGAAUUUCUAGUGUAGAGGUGAAAUUCGUAGAUAUUAGAAAGAAUACCAAUUGCGAAGGCAGCUUUCUGGAUCAUUACUGACACUGAGGAACGAAAGCAUGGGUAGCGAAGAGGAUUAGAUACCCUCGUAGUCCAUGCCGUAAACGAUGUGUGUUAGACGUUGGAAAUUUAUUUUCAGUGUCGCAGCGAAAGCGAUAAACACACCGCCUAGGGAGUACGACCGCAAGGUUAAAACUCAAAUGAAUUGACGGGGACCCGCACAAGUAGUGGAGCAUGUGGUUUAAUUCGAAGAUACGCGCAGAACCUUACCAACACUUGACAUGUUCGUCGCGACUCUAAGAGAUUAGAGUUUUCGGUUCGGCCGGACGAAACACAGGUGCUGCAUGGCUGUCGUCAGCUCGUGUCGUGAGAUGUUGGGUUAAGUCCCGCAACGAGCGCAACCCUCACUUUUAGUUGCCAUCAUUAAGUUGGGCACUCUGAAAGAACUGCCAGUGAUAAGCUGGAGGAAGGUGGGGAUGACGUCAAGUCCUCAUGGCCCUUACGUGUUGGGCUACACACGUGCUACAAUGGUAUCUACAACAGGAAGCAAGACUGCGAAGUUAAGCAAAUCCCUAAAAGAUACCUCAGUUCGGAUUGCACUCUGCAACUCGAGUGCAUGAAGCUGGAAUUACUAGUAAUCGUGGAUCAGCGUGCCACGGUGAAUGCGUUCCCGGGUCUUGUACACACCGCCCGUCACACCAUGGGAGUUGGUUCUACCUUAAGGCAAGGUUUCAAACCCUUGACCACGGUAUAGUCAGCGACUGGGGUGAAGUCGUAACAAGGUAACC